This 966-nucleotide ribosomal RNA is filed under the name Paralemanea annulata. RNAcentral's name for it is "LSU rRNA". It matches the Rfam family "Eukaryotic large subunit ribosomal RNA", at positions 988 to 1968 of the family's 3401-position model. Lineage: Eukaryota; Rhodophyta; Florideophyceae; Batrachospermales; Lemaneaceae. The record is from RNAcentral.
CGACAUGUUUUUUUGUGCGGCAAAGCGAAUGAUUAGUGCAUUUGGGGGCCGAAGGCCGUCAGGCGAUUCUCAAACUUUAAAUGUGCAAGGGGGCUGGCUGCUUAAUUGAGCCUGCUCUUUGAAAAAUGUGCUCCCUGUGGGCCACUUGUGGCAAGCAGAACUAGCGAUAAGGGAUGAACCUUAAGCGCGGUUAAGGCGCCAUAUUGACGGCUUAUAGACCCCACAAAAUGUCUUGAUUAAUCCAGGCAGCAGGAUGGUGUCCAUGGAAGUCAAAAUCCGCUAAGGAGUGUGUAAAAGCGCACCUGCCAAAUGAAUUAGCACGGAAAUGGAUGGCGCUGAAGCGGGCAGCCGACACCGCGCCAUUAGGGCGAGACGAAGUCUGGAUGAGUAGGAGGGCGUGGCGGUCAGUGAAGAAGGCGCGGGUGCAGACCCUGCUGAAACGGCCGCUAGUGCAGAUCUUUGUUGUAGUCGCAAAUAUUCAAGCGAGAUCCUUGGAGGGCGAAGCGCGGAAGGGUUCCAUGCGAACAUUGAUUGGGCGUGGGUGAGUCGUUUCUAAGCCGAGUGGCAAUAGCUAAGUAGCGGCGAAAGGGAAGCAGGUUAAAAUUCUCGCACACGGAUAUGGAGGCGGCGACGCAAGCAGAGGCGAAGACGCUGGCGAGGGCGCUGGGUAAGAGUUGUCGUUUCUGUUUGACCGGGAUCGCUCGGUGUGGAAUCCGCUUAUCGGGAGAAAAAAGCUUGGGAAGGUGCAAAGCUCCGGACUUGAUUCCGGCGUCCGGCUCGCCCUCGACGGCCCUUGAAAAUUCGCCCGCGAAAACAUUUAUGUACAUUUCAUGCUGUGACGUACCGAUAUCCGCAUUAGGUCCCCAAGGUGAACAGCCUCUGAUCAAUAUGAAAAAUGCCGGUUAGGGAAGUCGGCAAGAUGGACCCGUAACUUUGGGAAAAGGGUUGGCUCUAGUGAGGUGGGAG